GCGGCUACUGCUAUCAGGUUUCGACUAAGCCAUGCGAGUCAAGGGGUCGUAAGACACCGGCGUACUGCUCAGUAACACGCGGACAAUCUACCCCCAGGUGGAGGAUAACCUCGGGAAACUGAGGCUAAUACCCCAUAGUUGUCAUGUGCUGGAAUGCUUUGACGAUGAAAGAAUUUCGCCUGAGGAUGAGUCUGCGGCCUAUCAGGUAGUAUGUGGUGUAAAGGACCACAUAGCCUAAGACGGGUACGGGCCUUGAAAGAGGGAGCCCGGAGAUGGACUCUGAGACACUAGUCCAGGCCCUACGGGGCGCAGCAGGCGCGAAAACUGUGCAAUGCGCGCAAGCGCGACACGGGAAGCCUGAGUGCCUUGACUAUGUUAAGGCUUUUCUUGAUCCUAAAAAGCUCAAGGAAUAAGAGCUGGGUAAGACGGGUGCCAGCCGCCGCGGUAACACCCGCGGCUCGAGUGGUAGUCACUUUUAUUGAGCCUAAAGCGUUUGUAGCCGGAUUUGUAAAUCUCUAGGAAAAUACCUCUGCUUAACUGAAGAAAUUUUGGAGAGACUGCAAAUCUAGGGACCGGGUGAGGUUGAAUGUACUUCUGGGGUAGGGGUAAAAUCCUGUAAUCCUGGAAGGACGACCGGUGGCGAAGGCGUUCAACUAGAACGGAUCCGACGGUGAGGAACGAAGGCUAGGGGAGCAAACCGGAUUAGAUACCCGGGUAGUCCUAGCUGUAAACACUGCCCACUUGGUGUUGCAUCUCCGGUAAGGGGGUGCAGUGCCGUAGCGAAGGUGUUAAGUGGGCCGCUUGGGGAGUAUGGUCGCAAGGCUGAAACUUAA
This 833-nucleotide ribosomal RNA is filed under the name archaeon enrichment culture. RNAcentral describes it as "bacterial SSU rRNA". It matches the Rfam family "Archaeal small subunit ribosomal RNA", at positions 20 to 859 of the family's 1478-position model. The record is from RNAcentral.